Long non-coding RNA from Astyanax mexicanus (Mexican tetra), 1652 nucleotides. RefSeq lists it as uncharacterized. Lineage: Eukaryota; Metazoa; Chordata; Actinopteri; Characiformes; Acestrorhamphidae. The transcript is spliced from 3 exons. The record is from RefSeq and is a predicted model, not a curated record.
AGAGAAAUAAAGACCUAAUGUAAAAUAAACAAAUGUUGUACUGGUGUAGAUCCAGCAGAGGUCGCCAUCUCUUUCUCCUCUAGCAGUAAAUCUGAUGGCAGGCCAGCUUGUUUACUGCUGGCUGUCAGUAUGGUGGGAUGGUUCUGUAUCAGGAUGUAGAAUAUGAACAGGGUUCAGACAGAAAACUAAAGCUUCAGAAAUGUGUGCAGAAUAAACAAAUCCUGUCCUGCUUUACCUUCAGGCCUGCUCUCAGACUCUCCUCAGCUCUCUCUGUUAUUAAGGGUGUUUAUGAAGAGAAAAGGGAGGGUCUCGUGGGAGGCAGUAUGGAUAGUUGCGGAGAAGGGAAAGGGGGUCACAUGGAAGAAGUACAGCCAUUUUAGGAGUUGUAGCUAAUACAGACUGAUGGGCCGGUGCGUGUGGUUUCCCUUCUAAGCGAACAUUAUGAAAAAUUAAAGCCCCGAAAAUUCGUAAUGUUCUGGCAGCAUGUAGGCUACCUCAGGUCAGAGUGGUGCUCCUUACACACACAUAAAGGUGAACAAUGGCUCAAAUCUGUCUAUAAUUUUCAGAUCAGUUCAGCCCACACUGUAGUAUUUGAGUGUGUACAGUAUAAGGUGUGCAUUACUUAGGUACCUCCAUACUCUGUUAAUAAAAAAAAAAUCAACAUUUGUGGUAGAGCUGUAUGAUGAAUUUAAUGUUUCUUGUUAUUGUGAUGUGAGGUUUCAUGAUACACAUCGCAAAAGCUGUGAUAAUUCCUAAUUAACAGCAACCUCACACUGCAUUAUCUGCAUGCAACACCAGAGAGAGACUGUGCAGGCUUUUAACAUAAUGAGGGCUGGAGGCGAAGCGAGGCAGAGCAAUGUAGGUCAAAGUGAGAUAUAGCGAGGUAGAGUGAGGUACAUCAAGAUAGGAAGAGCUUAGAGUGAGAUCUAGCGAGGUAGAAGGAGCUUAGAGUGAGAUAUAGCAAGGUAGAGCGAGGUACAGCAAGAUAGGAAGAGCUUAGAGUGAGAUAUAGCGAGGUAGAAGGAGCUUAGAGUGAGAUAUAGCGAGGUACAGCAAGGUAGGAAGAGCUAAGAGUGAGAUAUAGCGAGGUGGAAGAAGCUUAGAGUGAGAUAUAGCGAGGUAGAGUGAGGUACAGCAAGGUAGAAGGAGCUUAGAGAGAUAUAUAGCGAGGUAAAAGAAGCUUAGAAUGAAAUAUAGUGAGGUAAAGUGAGGUACAGCAAAGUAGAAGGAGCUUAGAGAGAUAUAUAGCGAGGUAGAAGGAGCUUAGAGUGAGGUAGAGUGAGGUACAGCAAGGUAGAAGGAGCUUAGAGUGAGAUAUAGUGAGGUAGAGUGAAGUACAUCAAGGUAGUUAGAGCUUAGAGUGAGAUCUAGCGAGGUAGAAGAAGCUUAGAGUGAGAUAUAGCGAGGUACAGCAAGGCAGGAAGAGCUUAGAGUGAGAUAUAGCAAGGUAGAGUGAGGUACAGCAAGGUAGGAAGAGCUUAGAGUGAGAUAUAGCGAGGUAGAAGGAGCUUAGAGUGAGAUAUAGCGAGGUACAGCAAGGUAGGAAGAGCUUAGAGUGAGAUAUAGCGAGGUAGAAGGAGCUUAGAGUGAGAUAUAGCGAGGUACAGCAAGGUAGGAAGAGCUUAGAGUGAGAUAUAGCGAGGUAGAAGGAG